RNAcentral lists this non-coding RNA (32 nucleotides) under Syntrophotalea carbinolica DSM 2380. The record is from RNAcentral. Lineage: Bacteria; Pseudomonadati; Thermodesulfobacteriota; Desulfuromonadia; Desulfuromonadales; Syntrophotaleaceae.
AAAGGAUAAAGUCAUGGGGCUUACUGGAGACG